UGAGGAAUAUUGGUCAAUGGGCGCAAGCCUGAACCAGCCAUCCCGCGUGCAGGAAGACGGCCCUAUGGGUUGUAAACUGCUUUUCCAGGAAGAGAAACUUACGUACGAGUUGCGUAAUUGACGGUAUCCUGGGAAUAAGCAUCGGCUAACUCCGUGCCAGCAGCCGCGGUAAUA
This 174-nucleotide ribosomal RNA is filed under the name uncultured bacterium. RNAcentral describes it as "partial 16S ribosomal RNA". It matches the Rfam family "Bacterial small subunit ribosomal RNA", at positions 355 to 525 of the family's 1533-position model. The record is from RNAcentral.